GCUGGGCACUGUGGCACUUGCCUGUAGUCCCAGCUACUUGGGAGACUGAGGUGGGAGGAUCACUUGAGCCCAGGAGUUCUAGGCUGUAGUACGCUGUGCCGAUCGGGUGUCUGCACUAAGCACAGUAUCCAUAUGGUGACCUCCCGGGAGCAGGGGACCACCAGGUUGCCUAAGGAGGGGUGAACCCAUCCAGGUUGGAAAUGGAGCAGGUCAAAACUCCAGUGCUGAUCAGUAGUGGGAUCACGCCUGUGAAUAGCCAUUGCCCUCCAGCCUGGGCAAGAUAGCGAGACACCGUCUCU
This 299-nucleotide signal recognition particle RNA is filed under the name Aotus nancymaae (Ma's night monkey). RNAcentral describes it as "Metazoan signal recognition particle RNA (ENSANAG00000005339.1)". It matches the Rfam family "Metazoan signal recognition particle RNA". From Rfam's summary of the family: The signal recognition particle (SRP) is a universally conserved ribonucleoprotein. It is involved in the co-translational targeting of proteins to membranes. The record is from RNAcentral. Lineage: Eukaryota; Metazoa; Chordata; Mammalia; Primates; Aotidae.